CUUGGUCAUUUAGAGGAAGUAAAAGUCGUAACAAGGUCUCCGUUGGUGAACCAGCGGAGGGAUCAUUACCGAGUUUACAACUCCCAAACCCCUGUGAACAUACCUUAAUGUUGCCUCGGCGGAUCAGCCCGCGCCCCGUAAAACGGGACGGCCCGCCAGAGGACCCAAACUCUAAUGUUUCUUAUUGUAACUUCUGAGUAAAACAAACAAAUAAAUCAAAACUUUCAACAACGGAUCUCUUGGUUCUGGCAUCGAUGAAGAACGCAGCAAAAUGCGAUAAGUAAUGUGAAUUGCAGAAUUCAGUGAAUCAUCGAAUCUUUGAACGCACAUUGCGCCCGCUGGUAUUCCGGCGGGCAUGCCUGUUCGAGCGUCAUUUCAACCCUCAAGCCCCCGGGUUUGGUGUUGGGGAUCGGCUCUGCCUUCUGGCGGUGCCGCCCCCGAAAUACAUUGGCGGUCUCGCUGCAGCCUCCAUUGCGUAGUAGCUAACACCUCGCAACUGGAACGCGGCGCGGCCAUGCCGUAAAACCCCAACUUCUGAAUGUUGACCUCGGAUCAGGUAGGAAUACCCGCUG
Molecule: small RNA, 572 nt
Filed under: uncultured Fusarium
Lineage: Eukaryota; Fungi; Ascomycota; Sordariomycetes; Hypocreales; Nectriaceae
Description: eukaryotic LSU rRNA
Rfam family: 5.8S ribosomal RNA (bases 220-373)
Source: RNAcentral